UGGUCAAGCUGUAAAGGGCGCAAGGGGAAUGCCUUGGCACCAGGAGCCGAUGAAGGACGUGACAAGCUGCGAUAAGCUUGGGGGAGCUGCAAAUAAGCAUUGAUCCCAAGAUUUCCGAAUGGGGAAACCCGCAUGAGAGAAGCUCAUGCAGCUCAUACUGAAUCAAAUAGGUAUGAGUGGGGAACCGCCUGAACUGAAACAUCUAAGUAGGGCGAGGAAGAGACAUCAACAGAGAUUCCGCUAGUAGUGGCGAGCGAACGCGGAAGAGGCCAAACCUGAGGUAGCAAUAUCUCAGGGGUUCGGACUGCAAUAUGUAGUGUGAAAGAUAGCUGAACGCUUUGGGAAGAGCGGCGAAACAGGGUGACAGCCCCGUAAGCGACAUCGGAAGCACGCUAGCAGUAUCCAGAGUACCACAGGACACGAGGAACCCUGUGGGAAGACGGGUGGACCAUCAUCCAAGCCUAAAUACUACCUGGUGACCGAUAGCGAAGCAGUACCGUGAGGGAAAGGUGAAAAGGACCCCGGGAGGGGAGUGAAAGAGAACCUGAAACCUUGUGCCUACAAGCACCGAGAGCACGUUCAUGUGUGAUCGGGUACUUUUUGUAGAACGGUCCGGCGAGUUAAUGUAUGUAGCAAGGUUAAGUGACUGGAGUCACGGAGCCGCAGCGAGAGCGAGUCUGAACAGGGCGAAUUAGUUACAUGUAUUAGACCCGAAACCGGGUGACCUAUCCAUGAGCAGGCUGAAGUUGCGGUAAGACGCAAUGGAGGGCCGCACCCACGUCCGUUGAAAAGGCCGGGGAUGACUUGUGGAUAGCGGAGAAAUUCUAAUCGAACUCGGAUAUAGCUGGUUCUCCCCGAAAUAGCUUUAGGGCUAGCGUUAUGAUAGAUUACCGGAGGUAGAGCACUGAAUGGGCUAGGGGCCGCGAGGUUACUGAACCCUAUCAAACUUCGAAUGCCGGAUAAUUGGUUCAUGGCAGUCAGACCAUGUGAGAUAAGUCGCAUGGUCAAAAGGGAAACAGCCCAGAUCCGCAGCUAAGGUCCCAAAUGAAUACUAAGUGGAAAAUGAUGUGAAAUUGCUAAGACAACCAGGAUGUUGGCUUAGAAGCAGCCACUCAUUCAAAGAGUGCGUAAUAGCUCACUGGUCGAGUGAUUUUGCGCAGAAAAUUUAACGGGGCUAAGUAUUCAACCGAAGCUCGGGCAAUGUUUGAAACAUUGGGUAGGGGAGCGUCGUAUGCGGGGUGAAGCGUGAUCGGAAGGACACGUGGACUUCAUACGAGUGAGAAUGCCGGAAUAAGUAGCGAGAAUUAUGUGAGAAUCAUAAUGGCCGAAAAUCUAAGGUUUCUUGGGGAAGGUUCGUCCGCCCAAGGUUAGUCGGGAGCUAAGGCGAGGCCUAACGGCGUAGUCGAUGCACAUACGGUUGAUAUUCCGUAACCACCGAAGAUGUUAAGCUGAGGGACACUUUCAUUAAGUCUGACCCGGGCGAUGGUUGCCCCGGGCGUAAGGGACCGAAAUAUAGUAGGGAAGCAGAUGGCGUGAGAGGCGAGAAAAGCUCAGUGUAUUGUCCAGGUGCCCGUACCGCAAACCGACACAGGUAGAUGGGAUGAGUAUUCUAAGGCCAACGGGAGAAUGGUUGUUAAGGAACUCGGCAAAUUGGCCCCGUAACUUCGGAAUAAGGGGCGCCUCUGAGAAGAGGCCGCAGUGAAAAGGCCCAAGCGACUGUUUAGCAAAAACACAGCUCUCUGCUAAAUCGAAAGAUGACGUAUAGGGGGUGACGCCUGCCCGGUGCUGGAAGGUUAAGAGGAGAUGUUAGAGCAAUCGAAGCAUUGAAUUUAAGCCCCAGUAAACGGCGGCCGUAACUAUAACGGUCCUAAGGUAGCGAAAUUCCUUGUCAGGUAAGUUCUGACCCGCACGAAUGGCGUAACGAUUUGGGCACUGUCUCAACAGCCAGCCCGGCGAAAUUGUAGUACCGGUGAAGAUGCCGGUUUCCCGCAACUAGACGGAAAGACCCCAUGGAGCUUCACUGUAGCUUGAUAUUGGAUUUCGAUAUUUCAUGUACAGGAUAGGUGGGAGGCUUGGAAGCAAGUGCGCCAGCAUUUGUGGAGCCAACCUUGGGAUACCACUCUUGGAAUAUUGGAAUUCUAACCUGCGGCCAUGAAUCUGGUCGGGGGACACUGUCAGGUGGGCAGUUUGACUGGGGCGGUCGCCUCCUAAAGAGUAACGGAGGCGCUCAAAGGUUCGUUCAGCACGGAUGGAAAUCGUGCAGUGAGUGUAAACGCAAAAACGAGCCUGACUGCGAGACUGACGGGUCGAGCAGGAACGAAAGUUGGAGUUAGUGAUCCGGCGGUAUGUGAAUGGAAAUGCCGUCGCUCAACGGAUAAAAGCUACCCUGGGGAUAACAGGCUGAUCUCCCCCAAGAGUCCACAUCGACGGGGAGGUUUGGCACCUCGAUGUCGGCUCAUCGCAUCCUGGGGCUGAAUUCGGUCCCAAGGGUUUGGCUGUUCGCCAAUUAAAGCGGUACGCGAGCUGGGUUCAGAACGUCGUGAGACAGUUCGGUCCCUAUCUGUUGCGGGCGUAGGAAAUUUGAACGGAGCUGUCCUUAGUACGAGAGGACCGGGAUGGACAUACCUCUGGUGCACCAGUUGUUCUGCCAAGGGCAUAGCUGGGUAGCUAAGUAUGGACGAGAUAAACGCUGAAGGCAUCUAAGCGUGAAACUCCCCGUAAGAUAAGAUUUCCCAUUCUUCGGAAGUAAGACCCCACGUAGACGAUGUGGUUGAUAGGUCAGGAGUGGAAGUACAGUAAUGUAUGCAGCGGACUGAUACUAAUAGGUCGAGGGCUUGACCUG
RNAcentral lists this ribosomal RNA (2842 nucleotides) under Butyricicoccus porcorum. RNAcentral describes it as "bacterial LSU rRNA". It matches the Rfam family "Bacterial large subunit ribosomal RNA". The record is from RNAcentral. Lineage: Bacteria; Bacillati; Bacillota; Clostridia; Eubacteriales; Butyricicoccaceae.